This 2084-nucleotide long non-coding RNA is filed under the name Nicotiana benthamiana. Its description in RNAcentral is "long non-coding RNA (NBEN_LNC016441)". Lineage: Eukaryota; Viridiplantae; Streptophyta; Magnoliopsida; Solanales; Solanaceae. The record is from RNAcentral.
AGAGUUUGACAGUUGUCCGCUCUAAAGUCCUCAUUAUAUUACAAGUCUGUCACACUCCGAAUCUAGGGGCGAGAAUAGCACCCCGAUGCCUCACUUAUUCUUGCGUAUCAACUUGUGAUUAAGGGACUCUGAACCUAUAAUAUCAUUCUUUGGCCUUAGGCCAUAUUGCAAGACAAUUGCGAAUACUGAUUAAAUAUCAAUAUAGAUCUAAGUCGGCAAGGCCGUCAUAACUACUACAACUGGAAAACCAACAAAAUAUACAUAAAAGGCCUACAAGCCCAACAUACUACACUAACUGACAGGAUAUGUUUACAAGCCUCUACUGGUAGAUAUAUUGUAAUCGGAACAAUUACCCGACCUAUUCAUAAUAUAUACAUAUAUACACAAGAUAUACAUAAAGCUCUAGACUCGACAACUCCGAAAGGGAUGGAGCUUACCGAUCAGGUUGAACUCGGGCAACACUUAAUGAGGAAGUCUACUUGUCUGUUUGUAUAAACCUGCACGCAUGAAAUGCAGCGCCCCCCAAAAAAGGGACGUCAGUACGAAAUAAUGUACCGAGUAUGAAAGACAAUAUAUUGAAAGUUGAAACUGAAUUGAUAAUGUAAUAAUUGAAAGUCAAUGAUAAUCUUAAGAUAUGCUUACCUGCUGCUACUGACUCAACUCUCUCAAUAUAGUAAAUAAAAUAGAUGUCCGGCCUUAUAUAAAUAUAUAUAAGGUUUGAACCGAACAGUAGUUAACGGGUCGGUUUGGGGGACUUUUUAAUUUGACAUUUCACUUUACUCUCACAAUUUGUUGGUAGUUCGGUUUGGAUUGUUUUUUUUUAAAAAAAAUAAAAAAAUUAAUUAAAUUUUUUUUAUUUGGUUUAUGUUGGUUUUUGUUGGUUUUUUUAGUUUUUUCGAUUAUUUGUCGAUUUUUUUAAAUAUAAGACACACACUAUCAAACACAUAUUCCGGCGAUCACAUUUUCAACGUAACACUAUCAAAUCAAUUGUCCUUUGAGAAAUAUAUUAUUUACUAAGAUAUAUUGAUGAUAAUUGAAUCAAAUAGUGAUGAAUAAUUUAAGGACUCAAUUAAAAAUAUAUUUUUUUUAAUACGAAAUGAAUUCUUACACUUAAUAAAAGAAAAUUACCAAUCAAACUAGAAUGUAAAGGUAAAGAACUCUACUAAAAGUGCAAACUAUUAACAUCUACCAUUAAAUUUUUGAAAAUUUGUAUAAAAUUAUAUAUAUAUACGACUCACUUAUCGGCACUCGACCAUACUAGGUUAUAUCUCUCGGCCAUGCUGGGCUCGCUCAUAGGGGCUCAGCCAUAGUAGGCUCAGUAUAUAUUUUACCAUCUGAUCCGAGGUUGCCCAAUAGGGGCCUGCCCAUCCAUUAUAGCUCGAUGGUAAUGAAAAUACUGUAUACUAUAUAUAUAUAUAUAUAUAUAGACUCUCCACUCUCUUGACUGGAAUAAGAAAAUGCUCAAAUGAAUAUGAAGUCUCGAUUAAAAAAAUAUUGUAACUUGCGAGACUAGCAAAAUAUACGUAAAUCCCGGAAUAUGAACUUUUCUUUAUGCCUCGUUAUCAAACUUGUGCAAUGACGAGAUCAUGCAAAAUUAAAGAAGGACUUAUCCUUAAAAUAUCUUUGUUAGAUUUCUUUAGUAACCACAACAACAGCCCAUCCAACACACGUCAAUCUAGGAGAGACGACAAUAACGCAACAACAUGGAUUAGCGGUAAGCUUGUACAAGUUCGUUGAUGAUGGAGUGUACUUUUGUUUCCCUCUUUUAAUUUCCUUCCCUUUUAUAUUACUACGAGCUAACUUUUAUCCGCUAACAACCAUAGGAAAUCGGUAUUAGAAACGUAAAAUUGACGGGUAAAUGAAGUAGAGAAGCUUAAUCCUUUCUUACCUGAAAUAGAAAAAGCGUGUCUGCCCUUAAUAUCAUGUUCAUCUUCACAUUGUACAUUAAGUUGCUGCUCCUUUACCAAAUGAUGCUAUUGUAGUCUAGCAAUAAAGACCUUGUUCAACUUUCCCUCAAAAUGAAUUAAUACAUCCCACUUUGUCAAAAUUUCCAUCCGUAUUAUUGUUGUAGGUUUACAAACUCA